This 281-nucleotide long non-coding RNA is filed under the name Lathyrus oleraceus (garden pea). RNAcentral's name for it is "Pisum sativum (pea) long non-coding RNA (PSAT_LNC004739)". The record is from RNAcentral. Lineage: Eukaryota; Viridiplantae; Streptophyta; Magnoliopsida; Fabales; Fabaceae.
GAGAGAGUUAUAAAGGAACUUACAUGUGGAGAUUGUCACAUUGGUAACUUUCAGUUUGGUAAUACCCUCACUUCCCUUUUGCGUUUAGUUGCUUGGUUCCUUGUAGUUUUUUGGUUCUUACACUUUUCCUUGCCUUGAUUUUGUAACUUGUUUUUUUUAGGUUUUUUUUUUAAGUUUUAAAUUUAGGGGUUCCUUCUCUGUAAGCUUGAUUGAAGUGUUUAGGUUUGUUUUUUUAGGGUUUUGGACUUCAUAUCCAAACCCAGGAUGGUUGAAAACAUUAA